RNAcentral lists this non-coding RNA (45 nucleotides) under Schistosoma mansoni. Lineage: Eukaryota; Metazoa; Platyhelminthes; Trematoda; Strigeidida; Schistosomatidae. The record is from RNAcentral.
AUCCAGCUGACGAGUCCCAAAUAGGACGAAACACGCCUCCUGCAU